GCACUAGUAGCCCAACGGAUUAGAGCAUCUGACUACGGAUCAGAAGGUUACAGGUUCGAAUCCUGCCUAGUGCA
This 74-nucleotide transfer RNA is filed under the name Aeriscardovia sp. Its description in RNAcentral is "tRNA-Arg". It matches the Rfam family "tRNA". Rfam says of the family: Transfer RNA (tRNA) molecules are approximately 80 nucleotides in length. Lineage: Bacteria; Bacillati; Actinomycetota; Actinomycetes; Bifidobacteriales; Bifidobacteriaceae. The record is from RNAcentral.